RNAcentral lists this long non-coding RNA (704 nucleotides) under Homo sapiens (human). RNAcentral describes it as "HSALNT0188588". Lineage: Eukaryota; Metazoa; Chordata; Mammalia; Primates; Hominidae. The record is from RNAcentral.
UCCUUGACCAUUUGCAGGCACAUAUGCCAUUUUUCCCUAUGUUCAAAGUGAACAGCCUUCACUUCCUGUUUCUUGAAGCUAUAGAUGAGGAGGUUCAGCAAGGAUGUGAUCACACCUCUAUACAAUAUACAAGUAUGAAAUUGUGCAUACUGUAUAGAGACCGCUUGCUCCAGGACUGAUCCUAAAGGUGGGCUGAUGUGCUUGAAUAGAGCUGUCCCAUAGAACAAAAGCACCAUGGUGAGAUGGGAGUAACAGGUUUUGCCUUGGCCACCCAGAGGAAGAAAUACCUAGAAUGGCAAACAUAAUUUUUGAGUAAGCAAAGAGGUUCAGAGGAAGUGUCACAAGUCUGAGAAAUGCAAUAGAUCCAGAUAGAAGAAUGGUGUUAGCAUGGGAUCAGUGCAGGACAGAGGGAAGCGUGAAGACCGUUUCAUAACUGAAGUGGAGAAUGAUAUUGGGACCACAGAACUGCAAGUUUGGAUACAAAGAUUGUUCACUUGUGAGUUCAGAAACCCCAUCUUGUUGGUUGCAUUGACCGUUGCAGUGCAGAGAGGUCGGUUCAUGACCAUGGUAGAGAGCAGAGGGUGGCGUGGAGAAGGCUUUGCCUUGACCCUCAGAAAAACAAAUGGCUAGGAGGCAGAGAUGGUGUUAGAGUAAGAAAAGAGGACCAGCGGCAAGUCACAAAUCCUAGCAAUGUACAUGACCCA